UUCCUAUCCGCCAUCUCCCCUCCCCCACGAUUCCCCUCUCACCGGAGCUCCAUGGCCACGAUGCUGCCCGCCGCCACCAAUUUCUGCUAGCUCACGCGCUCUCCCACGACGUCGCUCACCAGCCGGGCUGCCCCGCACUCCUCUCCUCUGAUCCUCCACUGCCGUGACUUCCUCCGCACUGAUCCAGAUGCCCCUGCAGCAACCCUAGCGGCCACGGGCCGCCGGUGAGACUCCCGCGUUGGCCCUCUACCCCUCAUCUCCGUAUGCGCCGGUGCUAGAUCGGGCUCGACGAUGCUGCUCGCAUCGGCUACCUUGCCUCCAACACCGACGAUUUAGUAAGGCACUUCUCUCCUCUGCUCGUACCCUCUCUAUUUCUUUGUGGUGACAUAACUUUGUUCCAUGGUUGAUUCUUUGCCAGAAAUCGCAAAUGUGAUCUACACUACCUAGUGUCAGCUGUCGUGGUGUCGUAAAUCACGGCUGGAUGACACCCCAUCAAGGUCAGUGACCUUGCUUGAGGAUCAAAAUUCACUUCACCAUUCUAGCUAGGUAUUUUUAGUUUCGUGCUUGCAUCUUCCAAUGUGCACUGCAGACUGCUAUCUAGUUCUGGACAUGCAAGCCAGUUGUUUCUAGUUUGUUUCUGUUUGCAUGUAUGGUUAAGUCCAUAUGUGUUAUUUCUGAAAGAAUGCUUGCGUCCUUUUUAUUUAUCUCAAUAGUUCGUCCAUGUUGCUGUGUGUGUGGAUGAAUCCUUUCCGGUUUCAUUGUCAUAUGUUGUGUAAUACUGUAGGAACAGGUCUCACAUGCGUCCAUCUGUCAUAAUAUUCCUCUUUAUUGUAUAUAUAAUCCUUAAUUUCAUCUUUACUUACAGGUUCUGAAACUGACUGUGCAUCCGUGAACAUGUGUGUGUUUGUUGGAUUGCAUUCUCAUCCUAGUAGUAGUUCGAUCUGCUGUGUCGAUGAAAAUCCACAGGAGGCUGCAAAAUGGUCAUGAGUUACCAAAGCUUUAUCUCCCUUAAUUAACUAAUCGCUGACUCAGUUUCAAUUGUUGACCCGCCCGCUGAGUUCAGCAUGAAGUUUUGGUUUGACGUUUUCAUUGCGGUGCUUGCAUAAUGAUGUCGUGACAGUACCGCAUAAUUAAUUAAUGAUGGUGAACAACAUCACAGCUCUUUUUGUCGUGCCCACACGCUAUGGAGACGCCGGCAUGCUCGAGCUAUGAUGGUGAAGUUACUAGAUGUAGGACCUAUGGUAUACUAUGACUGUUGACAUGUUUCAAUGAGAACUUCAGUGCUUGUGUCAGAACCCUAUUACAAAGAGAUUCCCCAAUCUGUAAAAGAAAAGGUGGAUGCAAAGCUGAAUAGUCGUGAGAUGUUUGGAGCUGGGAUGCUGAAAACUAUGUAUUGCCAAGAUGAGGACGGGGCAUCGACCCGUUGGCUGGGCAGCUGAGGUUGCUGCCAGCCCACCCGAGUUCGAGUCCUGGCACGGACGCGCGGUGCUCACGGAGUUUCUCCUAUAAAGAAUAGCCAACGAGGGUUAGCCCUUGGGUUGGUCUCAUUUUUUUAGAUUGCCAAGAUAAAAUGGAUGAUGCAUGGCUCGGACGCUGAUUGCAAUGAUGAGAAUGGGGCUGCUACUAGAUAAUUAGAAUGUCUUUUCAGGACAAUGUUUGAUACAUCAAAGUUUAUUGCAAGGUUGAGAA
Aegilops tauschii subsp. strangulata is the source of this 1689-nucleotide non-coding RNA. The record is from RefSeq and is a predicted model, not a curated record. Lineage: Eukaryota; Viridiplantae; Streptophyta; Magnoliopsida; Poales; Poaceae.